RNAcentral lists this ribosomal RNA (970 nucleotides) under Acinetobacter sp. RNAcentral describes it as "bacterial SSU rRNA". It matches the Rfam family "Bacterial small subunit ribosomal RNA", at positions 72 to 1036 of the family's 1533-position model. Lineage: Bacteria; Pseudomonadati; Pseudomonadota; Gammaproteobacteria; Moraxellales; Moraxellaceae. The record is from RNAcentral.
UAGGGUGCUUGCACCUGAUUCCUAGCGGCGGACGGGUGAGUAAUGCUUAGGAAUCUGCCUAUUAGUGGGGGACAACGUUCCGAAAGGGGCGCUAAUACCGCAAACGUCCUACGGGAGAAAGCAGGGGAUCUUCGGACCUUGCGCUAAUAGAUGAGCCUAAGUCGGAUUAGCUAGUUGGUGGGGUAAAGGCCUACCAAGGCGACGAUCUGUAGCGGGUCUGAGAGGAUGAUCCGCCACACUGGGACUGAGACACGGCCCAGACUCCUACGGGAGGCAGCAGUGGGGAAUAUUGGACAAUGGGGGGAACCCUGAUCCAGCCAUGCCGCGUGUGUGAAGAAGGCCUUUUGGUUGUAAAGCACUUUAAGCGAGGAGGAGGCUUACCUGGUUAAUACCUGGGAUAAGUGGACGUUACUCGCAGAAUAAGCACCGGCUAACUCUGUGCCAGCAGCCGCGGUAAUACAGAGGGUGCAAGCGUUAAUCGGAUUUACUGGGCGUAAAGCGCGCGUAGGUGGCUAAUUAAGUCAAAUGUGAAAUCCCCGAGCUUAACUUGGGAAUUGCAUUCGAUACUGGUUAGCUAGAGUAUGGGAGAGGAUGGUAGAAUUCCAGGUGUAGCGGUGAAAUGCGUAGAGAUCUGGAGGAAUACCGAUGGCGAAGGCAGCCAUCUGGCCUAAUACUGACACUGAGGUGCGAAAGCAUGGGGAGCAAACAGGAUUAGAUACCCUGGUAGUCCAUGCCGUAAACGAUGUCUACUAGCCGUUGGGGCCCUUGAGGCUUUAGUGGCGCAGCUAACGCGAUAAGUAGACCGCCUGGGGAGUACGGUCGCAAGACUAAAACUCAAAUGAAUUGACGGGGGCCCGCACAAGCGGUGGAGCAUGUGGUUUAAUUCGAUGCAACGCGAAGAACCUUACCUGGCCUUGACAUACAGAGAACUUUCCAGAGAUGGAUUGGUGCCUUCGGGAACUCUGAUACA